This 361-nucleotide RNase P RNA is filed under the name Oscillibacter sp. RNAcentral describes it as "RNase P RNA component class A". It matches the Rfam family "Bacterial RNase P class A". From Rfam's summary of the family: Ribonuclease P (RNase P) is a ubiquitous endoribonuclease, found in archaea, bacteria and eukarya as well as chloroplasts and mitochondria. Its best characterised activity is the generation of mature 5'-ends of tRNAs by cleaving the 5'-leader elements of precursor-tRNAs. Cellular RNase Ps are ribonucleoproteins. RNAcentral also lists the same sequence under 2 other names. The record is from RNAcentral. Lineage: Bacteria; Bacillati; Bacillota; Clostridia; Eubacteriales; Oscillospiraceae.
UGAGCAGAUCAGACGGUCGCGGGGAUAAAGGCGAAAGCCUGUCCAUGAGGAAAGUCCGGGCUCCGCAGGGCAAGGAUAACGGGUAACGCCCGCCGAAGGCGACUUCAGGAAAAGUGCAACAGAGAUAUACCGCCGGCUGCGGCGAUUGUGGUGCAGCCGGUAAGGGUGGAAAGGCGAGGUAAGAGCUCACCCGACGGCGUGUGAAAGCGUCCGCCGCUGUAAACUCUAUCCGGAGCAACACCGGUAUGGGAGCAAUAGGCUGGCCCGGCUGCUCCCGAGGUGGCUGGAGCGUGCCGGCAACGGUACGCCUAGAUAGAUGACCGUAUGAUAACAGAACCCGGCUUACAGAUCUGCUCAUAUA